Molecule: long non-coding RNA, 3536 nt
Organism: Falco peregrinus (peregrine falcon)
Lineage: Eukaryota; Metazoa; Chordata; Aves; Falconiformes; Falconidae
Exons: 2
Source: RefSeq, a predicted model, not a curated record
CAAAUAAAGCGGGAAGUUAAACCUCGACAAAGGCAGUUCAGCAGCCGAAGCCCCCCAGCCUCUGCGGGAGUUGGGUACCACAUUCCUCAACAGCCUUAACCUCCCGGUUAGCGUACGUAUGCACAGUAUUGCUGCCGCUCGGUGAACAAUUUCUGCUGAUUUUCAGCCACAGUGAAGAGUGAGGCAGAGAAACAAGGACACAACUGCUGUCUCAGCUGGGAUCUGUUAUUUGUGAAACAUUCCUGACCUGCACCGGAGACUCUCAGAGCCAUUUAUGACAGCAAGUGCACAGCUCUCCACAGGAACCAAGAUACAUCUUUACACAUCACACAUCUUUCUAUGGCUCCCAAAGGACAAAAUCAUCUUGCUCCAGACUCAUGCCUGGACUGGGGAAGGAGGGAUGGAUCUCGGGCAGAUCAAACCAAUCGCACCAAUUUCCCUGGGCUGUCACUGGCAGGAAUUAGUCUGGUUUAACUGGGAGGCUCAGACAGGUUUCCAACCGUGACAUCUGUUAACAUGCCUUGUUAGAAAACAUUCAGUGACAAUGUCCUUGUUUCAUUCCUACUUCAGACCUACCUCUGUCCUUCCCUCCUCUCCAUCUUCCCACCAACAGGAGGGUAUUGCACAUUUACCAGUGCCACCUCCCUACUUGCCUUUCUCCUAGUGCUGAGGCCAUGGGACACCAGACAGCCUUUUCAGGUUAACAAAUUCUGGCUGCAGGAAUGUGAAAACGCUCACAGACCCAAGUGAGCGAUAGGGUUGUCCUCCCCUGCCCUCACAGCCUCUUAGAAAGGAAGAGGUGGAACACAGCCCAAGAGCUACCCCAGGGAGUUGUGGUUCUGAGCAGAUGCUGUGCCAGGCACUGAUAGUUCAAUGUCAACUUUCAGUGACCUCCAGCUCCAAGGAACCCAACCGAGUCUCAACAAGACUCUCACAUCCUGCUAUCCACCAGGUUCAGUAAAGUUUCAGGCAGGGACAACAGGGUGGCACUGCCAGACCAGCACCGUUCAGACUUGCUGACACUCAAGUCUAAAAACCUCUGAUCAAUCACUCACUAGCCUCUUCAGAUUCUUCAGGGGUCUCUCCAUUUCUUUGUGGAUAUAAUCACUUGGGGAGUUUUUUCAAUAAUUUUUUUUUCGUUUAUAGCUCAUGCCAAAGUACACCAUUUACACAUGCAGCAAAGGGCUGCCCAAGCAAAAUCACUGUCCCAGAGCUCAACUUCCCUGCUGCAGGAGAUGAAAGGCAGAGCAGACCUGCAAGGAGAAAAAGGGGAAGUGUAUAAAGGGAGAAAAUGAGCGAAUAAAGAUGCAAGAUAAGUUGGGAGGAUUUGUUUAUAACAGAGGUUAGGGAGGAACUGGGAUCAGAGGGCUUGGACUGGCAUGAGACAACCCAAGGGAGCACUGAUUUCUUCAUUAGCUGAUGCGAUCACUGGGGCAGAACACGUCUGAAAGGAGGAGGAACACGAACUCACGCUUGAGGCUUUUGAGGAAGACAGCAUGCCACGUUUGGAAGGGAGAACAGGACGCAGUGGGGAAGUCUCACUGUUUUAGCUGAGUCCGUAACCUCUCAGCCUAAAGACUUUCUGGCUUUUUAGAUUGGGCUGCAGUUGAGCAGCCUUAUGUAGAGGAAUGAAGCCGGGUUAAUUAGCAUUGAUAAUAUACAGCUGUGGGCUGGCUUCAGGGGCGGUGGGGCAGCUGAUGUAGAUAAGGUGCAGCUGUGGCUGGUUCUGUUAAGAGGCUGGGCAGCCAAGGAAGAGGGAGGAGGAAGAAGCAGAGAGAAGAGAGAGAACGCACGCCUGGGAUGAGGAGAGACGAGGAGAAGGCAGCAGAGGGACUGGCACGAAGAGUAUGUUGGUAUGAGAUGGUAAAAGCCCUUGUUGCAGCUGGUAGUUUGGGGAGUGCUGCGACAACUGGUGCCCUGUGUGAAGCCCUUCAGAUUAUGAUGUAACGAGCAGCAACAGCGAUGAUGGCUGGGCCGGGGGAUGUUUGAAGUCUGGAGCAGUGACAGCAGCGCCCAACAAGGCAGAGACAGGUGGGGACAGCCUGUGAUCCAGAUCACACUGAGAUAAGCGGGAAGAGCCUGGGGAUCUGGAUCAGACACUGGUAAAGGUGAGCCGUUGGGAUCAAAGAGAAGGAAACCUGACUGCCGUGGAGUUCAGAGACCGAGGGUAACGGCCGAUAGUGGCAGAGUACACGGCCAGACGUGGCAGCAGCCCGCAGCGGGCCCAGAGCGGGUCCGGCCAGACAGCGGUGAUGGCUGUGCUGGGGGACAGUGCGGGAGCAGUGCGAUGCCGUGGGCAGCUCCUGCUGUUGGUGCUGCUGCUCGGCCUGGUGGUAUUCCUGCUGGUGUUUAUGGGUUUGUUGAAGGUGUCUCCAGUCAUAGACGAAAUAAGCGACCGUAUGUGAUGUUAAAAGACCUUGUUGCAGCUAGUAGUUUGGAGAGUGCUGUGACAGCCUUAGACUGUUUUAACCUGGUGCUCUUUUGGGAAAAAUAUUGAGAGAACAGCGGUCCAAAUCCAGAAACGUCUGCCCAAUGUAAGGAUACAGCACAUGGAUUGUAACAAGAACUGAGCUGCAUUAACCCUUCUGAGGAAGUCUACCACCGAAGUGGAAAUCAGCUCCCGAGAUGCAUGGUGUUGCAAUCGCACGGCUCAGCAUGCCUGCCUGACUGUCAGGGCCGGCAGGGAGUCAGGAAAUGGGCUGUCCUACCCCCCGGGUGCUGUAGGCCGUCCAGCAGCUCUUCUUGGCUGCUCAGUGAGCCACUUCACAUAGGCGCACUGCUGCGUCUGGCUUCCCUUCCUCUUUGGCAAGGGAAGGAGCCAAGAGCCAACCUGCUUGCUGUAGCUGCAGAGCUGGUGCACCGCCAUCCCCUGACCUUCUACCAGUGCACUCUUAGCUACUCCAGCUCCUGGUCUUCUCUCACAUCAGCUCAAGACACAACUCUCCAGCACUCUCCCGGCACCGCGCACCUGGCCUCCCUCGCUCUGCAGUAUACAGCUAUAGGAACAAAGAACACUAUCAGGACUUUCGAAGAGCAAACAGGACAUGUAAAUGAAAGCCACAAUUGAUGUCUGCCCUAUAUUGUCUCAGUGGAGCCACAGAGAGGAUGCAGCAUUGUUAGAAAGUAAGCAAUAGAGAUUAUCUGUCUGCAUUUAUCUCAGGUAGGUGUUAACCUAAUUUAUCUCCUUUAGUGACCUGCCUCUGGUGAAAGUGAGUAACAGGCCUGGUGAGGAAUGCACAAACUUCUGAGAACACAAGGGGAACAGCUCACAGUAAGAGACUGAGAACACUCUCAAGCACCCAAAGCAGCAAGCUGAACCCUUCCCAGCCCACUCCUUGUUGGCUUGUCAAACAUCAACGGGGGGGGGAAUGCAACUGUGUGAUCAGGCACAUGCAAGAAUAAACUUAACAGGGGAAAAAACAAAUAAACAUCUUCAACAUGAGAAAUCAGAAAUAUAAAUGAAUAUCAGCACUGAAAUCUAUGUAAUAUAAUUCUUGUCGACCAAAUCUAAUAAAACAAACCUUCAAUGCCUCUGA